AGUCAUAUGCUUGUCUCAAAGAUUAAGCCAUGCAUGUCUCAGUAUAAGCUUCAAAAUGGUAAAACUGCGAAUGGCUCAUUAAAACAGUUAUAAUUUAUAUGAUGAUCAUUGUUACAUGGAUACCUGUGGUAAUUCUAGAGCUAAUACAUGCAUAAAAACCCAACUUCUAGGAAGGGUUGUGCUUAUUAGCCUUCAAAUCCAACUCAAGCUCUGCUUGAUCCACUGGUGAUUCAUAAUAUGGAUCGAAUCGCAUAGCAUCCGCUGGCGAUAAAUCAUUUAAGUUUCUGACCUAUCAGCUUCCGACGGUAAGGUAUUGGCUUACCGUGGCAAUGACGGGUAA
Molecule: ribosomal RNA, 340 nt
Filed under: uncultured eukaryote
Lineage: Eukaryota
Description: bacterial SSU rRNA
Rfam family: Eukaryotic small subunit ribosomal RNA
Source: RNAcentral